UGGGGAAUAUUGGGCAAUGGGCGCAAGCCUGACCCAGCAACGCCGCGUGAGGGAAGAAGGUCUUCGGAUUGUAAACCUCUGUCCUUGGGGACGAAAAAAAUGACGGUACCCAAGGAGGAAGCUCCGGCUAACUACGUGCCAGCAGCCGCGGUAAUACGUAGGGAGCGAGCGUUGUCCGGAAUUACUGGGCGUAAAGGGUGCGUAGGCGGCUUGGCAAGUCAGAUGUGAAAUCCCCGGGCUUAACUCGGGAGUUGCAUUUGAAACUGCUAGGCUUGAGUGCAGGAGAGGAAAGCGGAAUUCCUAGUGUAGCGGUGAAAUGCGUAGAUAUUAGGAGGAACACCAGUGGCGAAGGCGGCUUUCUGGACUGUAACUGACGCUGAGGCACGAAAGCGUGGGGAGCAAACAG
RNAcentral lists this ribosomal RNA (406 nucleotides) under uncultured bacterium. Its description in RNAcentral is "bacterial SSU rRNA". It matches the Rfam family "Bacterial small subunit ribosomal RNA", at positions 355 to 775 of the family's 1533-position model. The record is from RNAcentral.